GGACUACCGGGGUAUCUAAUCCUGUUUGCUCCCCACGCUUUCGCGUCUCAGCGUCAGUCACUGUCCAGAAGGCCGCCUUCGCCACCGGUGUUCCUCUCGAUAUCUACGAAUUUCACCUCUACACCGAGAAUUCCGCCUUCCUCUCCAGGACUCAAGCCUCGCAGUAUCGAAUGCACUUCCUAGGUUGAGCCCAGGGCUUUCACAUCCGACUUGCGGGGCUGCCUACACGCGCUUUACGCCCAGUAAUUCCGAACAACGUUUGCACCCUCUGUCUUACCGCGGCGGCUGGCAC
RNAcentral lists this ribosomal RNA (292 nucleotides) under uncultured bacterium. Its description in RNAcentral is "partial 16S ribosomal RNA". The record is from RNAcentral.